CCUCGCGGUCCGCCCCGGCCCAGCGGUCCCAGCCGCGUCGGCAGGGCAGUGGGGCACCCGCUCUGAGCGCCCCACAACGACCUCCAGCGCGCGCGGACAGCCGACGCACCGCGGGCCGCUGCCACUGCCGCUGAGGACCAGUGGACUGCACCACCCUCCACGCGCCUGUCCAGCCCGCCAGCCAAUCGCAACGCCUCCUCACGCACGUGACAUACACCGACCAAUGGAUGCCCGAGGUGCCCAUGAGGCACAGGCGGCCCUCGGGGCUUUCAGAUGGGCGCGGGCUGUCGAGGGACCGCACAAGGACCGCGAGGGGACUGAGAAGCUGUGAGGCUCGCGUGGAGGCCUACUCCCCGUGGUCCCAGGAUGGAGACUGCCUGGAAAGGAGGAGGCGGAGUAAGCAGCGUCCUGCAGCCUCGGGGCCAGUGCCACGCGAGCGUGCCUGUCACCCAGCAGCUUCCCACUCUUCCCCGCCUGGUGCUCUCAGACCAGCUCUUCGAACCUCCUGGUUUUCAGCUGGCCCCAGCCUAACGCUGUUAUUCAUUGAAAAAAUGCAUACUGAAUACCUACUAUGACUCAGAAUUGGACUGGCCUCCAGGUUUGACCUGUAAGUAGUAUCAACAUGA
Molecule: long non-coding RNA, 626 nt
Filed under: Chinchilla lanigera (long-tailed chinchilla)
Lineage: Eukaryota; Metazoa; Chordata; Mammalia; Rodentia; Chinchillidae
Description: lncRNA (ENSCLAG00000029120.1)
Source: RNAcentral